GUCUCUUCAAAGAUUAAGCCAUGCAUGUCCAAGUAUAAGCAAUCUAUACGGUGAAACUGCGAAUGGCUCAUUAAAUCAGUUAUCGUUUAUUUGAUAGUACCUUACUACAUGGAUAACCGUGGUAAUUCUAGAGCUAAUACAUGCUAAAAACCCCGACUUCGGAAGGGGUGUAUUUAUUAGAUAAAAAACCAGCGCCCUUCGGGGCUCCUUGGUGAUUCAUAAUAACUCAACGAAUCGCAUGGCCUUGCGCCGGCGAUGGUUCAUUCAAAUUUCUGCCCUAUCAACUUUCGAUGGUAGGAUAGUGGCCUACCAUGGUAUCAACGGGUAACGGGGAAUUAGGGUUCUAUUCCGGAGAGGGAGCCUGAGAAACGGCUACCACAUCCAAGGAAGGCAGCAGGCGCGCAAAUUACCCAAUCCCGACACGGGGAGGUAGUGACAAUAAAUACUGAUACAGGGCUCUUUUGGGUCUUGUAAUUGGAAUGAGUACAAUUUAAAUCCCUUAACGAGGAACAAUUGGAGGGCAAGUCUGGUGCCAGCAGCCGCGGUAAUUCCAGCUCCAAUAGCGUAUAUUAAAGUUGUUGCAGUUAAAAAGCUCGUAGUUGAACCUUGGGCCUGGCUGGCCGGUCCGCCUCACCGCGUGUACUGGUCCGGCCGGGCCUUUCCUUCUGGGGAGCCGCAUGCCCUUCACUGGGCGUGUCGGGGAACCAGGACUUUUACUUUGAAAAAAUUAGAGUGUUCAAAGCAGGCCUUUGCUCGAAUACAUUAGCA
Molecule: ribosomal RNA, 768 nt
Filed under: Saxomyces americanus
Lineage: Eukaryota; Fungi; Ascomycota; Dothideomycetes
Description: SSU rRNA
Rfam family: Eukaryotic small subunit ribosomal RNA
Source: RNAcentral